Long non-coding RNA from Dendroctonus ponderosae (mountain pine beetle), 3474 nucleotides. RefSeq lists it as uncharacterized. The transcript has 2 exons. Lineage: Eukaryota; Metazoa; Arthropoda; Insecta; Coleoptera; Curculionidae. The record is from RefSeq and is a predicted model, not a curated record.
GAUCCCUAAAAAUAGUAAAUGGGUACCCCAGGCCAUUUCCGUUACAAUACGUUUACUUCUCUUGGAAAAAUCUGUUUACCUCUUCAUUAAUGCUGUGAUAUACAACCGACCAUCUCCAUUUCCGCAACUGGUAAUUUAAUAAAAGAAGUCCCAACCAAAAAAAGUUACAUGUUAUCUUACGAAAUCUUGAUUCUUCAAAAAUAGAGUAACUAGAACAUUAUGAUUUUUUUGAUUAGUCUACUGUACUUCGAUUUUAAUAUUUUUCAUUAUACUGUAAAUUAAUAUAAUUGCGUCACUUCGGAUCAUGAAGUAAUAUUUCUUAAAACAGCUCUUAUGAAUUGUUUCCUACCGCAAAUCAUGUUGUGUUUUAAAGUGUUGCGUGUACAGGAUGUUGGAAAAUAUAGUAAGAACGUUAUUUAAAGAAACAAAAGCUAUUUAUUUGCGUUUUAGAAACUGAAAAUGGUUUUCGCCCGAAUUUCUGCAAUAAACUCUACUAAUUACAUCCAUUAACUUAACUUAGCGUUACAUUUUCAAAAUAUUUCCUUUUAUUUAUGAACCAUUUUGCACAAUUAAUUCACUCAAAUCGUGCAUUUUGCAUGUUACAAGAAUAAUUAGCAUGUAUUACAAGCUGAAUAUUAUCAUUAUUUUAGAUUUCUCAUGCAAACAGACCAAUUCUUGUUCAGGUACACCACUGAAUUAUAGAGUAAAACUAAUAAAAUUUGGCGGCACCAACCAAACAAUUUUUCCGCGUAGGUUAAAAACACUUAUUUUAACGUGUACCACUUGCUAAAUUUAAAGAAAACAAACAUAAAAGUUUACUAUAUGCUGUAAACCUCGUUUGCGAGUUUACACCCAACCAAUUUUUGCCAGAUCAGCGUUAUUUUUAGAAGUAAAUAUGAGGUAAACGUGGGACGUAUGAGGACACUAAAUGAAAAUACUGAUUACAGUUGAUUGCAGUUCAAUUUGAUGCCUAUAGUAUAACAGUUUGAUAAAUAUUUGGAAACUGCAUCUGCAUAUACAGGGUGAUUUUACAUAGAUCUACAUAGAAACCGAAAUUUCUGUAUGUACCAGUAGAGUUUCUCAUUAGUUAAUAUCAAUUAAUUAUAAGGACAUUUUUCUGUUGAGUGACAUUUGUUUAUUUAUUGCCUUACAGACACUCAGAAUAGGACGACAAAUCUCUCAAAAUUAGUGACCAUUAUACCAGCUUAUUUUCAGUUGUUUUGUUGUUUCAAUUUCCUAAAACAUUUCUAUUUAAUGUUUUCUUAAGUUUAAAAAAAUUAUUGUUGGAAAAAAGAAAACUUGUUAAAUGUUCUUUUUGGUGUUCAUUAACUUUAAUUCCAAAAAUUAUUGUUACAUUUUAUUUAUGUAAAAUUAAAAUGGAAUGCAUAUACCUAUAAUAUACAGGGAUGUACAUUAAACAUGUAUUAUACUGAAAAACUGGAAAAUCGGACACUCAAGUCGCUUUUACGUUAACAAUCUUGAUAAGCGACAACAAUACUACUAGUUUGCUAAUAUAAACUAUUUUGUAUCCUUAAUAACAUCAAAAUUAGCGAUGAUGAACACUUAAUUUGGAUUACUUUGUACAAUUGUGUAUGCGACAUCCUUCGAAUUUAUCUAAUACGAAUAAUCCACUAUUCUGAGACGACGAUCAUCGAUGAUGUUAGAUGUGCUUUGCAAGCAUAUGUAUAACGAACAAUUAUAUUCACACCCUAUUUAAGUAAUCCUUACGUAAAUGCGUAUUAUAAAAUAUGUAAGUAGCCAUUAAUUCUUUCACCAGGUCUUGAUAAAGAUGAUUUAUUUAAUUGCCUUCAUGGAGAGGAAUUGCUAACAAUUCUUUGUAAUGAAAUACAAUAUCACGAUUUGCAACUGGUUAAGUACAUAAACAAUUAGUCGCCGAUUUAAUAAAUGAACGUGUUAUUAGUUCGCUUUUAUAUUCAUUUUCGCUGAUACUAACAGUCCUAGUAAGAUACGCUACAUGCUUAGUCGCAGGUACAUAUAUGUAUAUGAGAAAAACAAUCUGACUAUAAAAGUUGUAAAAGUUACUUUUGUAUACGAAAUUUCGAUUCGAUCUAAACUUUCAGUCUUACUAAAUAGUUGCUUAAUUUAACCAUCUACAGUAGGCAAUUAAAUGAAUAAACUGCUACUUAAUACACGUGGUGGUGGUACAGACUGGUAGGUGCGCUGAGUAUUAUCUUACAGUGUAGGCAGGUGAUUAACAUGAAUCAAUUUGCAGAACUUUAGUAAUUUAAGUAACAUAUCGCAGAAGAAAGAUGCGACUCCAAAACAGUGACAAAGGUCGAAAGCGACUGCGUAAUUAGGGCCGGGAUUCCCGGUACUUAUAUUAUAGAUAGGCUAUUAAGAGACGUGUUUUAGCUAUCAAUUUUCCUAGUAACAAUUACAUUGUCUGCUCAUUUUGUAUGUUAAAUUGCAUUGCCCCUGAUAUUUCCUUACAAAACCAAAUGCCCUAGAAAAUGUAAACUGCUCGCUUAAUUGCUGUCAGAAUAAUUUAAUAAUUUAGUGGCAUAACUUUUUAUACCUAAUCAAUCAACAUAAUAUUGCUUUCGAGAAGACUAGGCACUGUUAGUAUAACUUAUUAUCAUUAUCGCUACGUUUUGAUCAUAAUAAAAUUCCCCAUAAUGCUGGGUUUAUACACCCAGCAUUAUAUGAGCGAGAGAGAAUAUGGAAUAAGGAUUAAGGAGUGUCAAAAGUUAAUUACACGUCAGUGCAUAAAUGUGUUUACAAACCGAAUAGUGCCUAACGCUUAAGGAAUAAGGCUUAAUAAAGUUGUCAAAUUUUAACUUUAGCGUUGUGCGUUAGGCGUUAUUCUAAUGAAGCAUGCGCAGUUUGAAAGAUAAUUGACAUUCCAAUAUCUCAAGUGACGGCCAAAACUCUUAUUUACCUUUUGUAGUAAGGUCAGAUGAACUAAAUUAUUAAACAAGAAAAAAAGAGCUACAACUUCGUUAGUGAACAAUUAAUAUGUUACCACUAUAAUGUUGACAUAAACAGAGACAACUCUAUUUUUUCUUAAACCUAUUCUUCAAUUUGAUUGGCUGUACAUAACACAAUAUUAUAUUAUUCCUUAUUCUUAUUGAUAAAAACUGCUCAAGUGGCGUUAUGGCUAAAGCGUUAUUCUUAUGUCUUAAGACUUUUCUUCUCGUGUAUGAACCCACCAUAACUGUCAGGCAAUGUAGAUAUGUAUAAGUCAUCACGAACACAAACUUAUUUGGUUAAGUAUGUUUAGGUUUGCCAUAAAGUAGAUCGGUGAAGUAGGACUUAUUUUCAAUAAAAUGAUGAAAAGCUACUAUAAGCUAUACAUAUACAUAAUAUGCACCCAACGUGAUGAUAAUCACGUGAGCAGACGUUGUAAUAAACGGCGAUAUCACGAAAUUCAUCACGUCACAUCCACGUAAUAAUCAGGGCAGUUUGUGACAAUGAAAUGACAUUUUAUGCCGUGAGUGAGUAUGACAACAACUG